This 137-nucleotide ribosomal RNA is filed under the name Gopherus agassizii (Agassiz's desert tortoise). Lineage: Eukaryota; Metazoa; Chordata; Testudines; Testudinidae. The record is from RNAcentral.
GACUAUGACCACAUCAUCCUGAGUAUGCCCGAUCUCAUCUGAUUUUGGAAGCUAAACAGGGUCAGGCCUGGUUAGUACUAUACAGCCUGGCUAGCUCAGUUGGUCGUGCAUGAGACUUACUUUCAGGGUCAUUGGUU